GACGGAGGGGGCUAGCGUUGUUCGGAAUUACUGGGCGUAAAGGGCGCGUAGGCGGAUUAGUAAGUUGGAAGUGAAAUCCCAGGGCUCAACCUUGGAACUGAUUUCAAAACUGCUAGUCUAGAGUUAAGUAGGGGAUGAUGGAAUUCCUAGUGUAGAGGUGAAAUUCUUAGAUAUUAGGAGGAACACCGGUGGCGAAGGCGAUCAUCUGGGCUUAUACUGACGCUGAGGCGCGAAAGCGUGGGGAGCAAACAGG
Molecule: unclassified non-coding RNA, 253 nt
Filed under: uncultured Rickettsiales bacterium
Lineage: Bacteria; Pseudomonadati; Pseudomonadota; Alphaproteobacteria; Rickettsiales
Description: contains 16S-23S intergenic spacer region
Rfam family: Bacterial small subunit ribosomal RNA
Source: RNAcentral